GAAGGUGGUGAGCUCGAAGAUGGUUAUGCAGAGGGGGCGGUCUGAUGGUCCGCAAUCCCGACAGAUGAGGAUUGCUGAAUGCCUUGUGGGGGAUGAGACUGGAAUUAUUGUUUUCACUGCCAGGAAUGAGCAAGUUAAUGUGAUGACACCUGGAAAAACCGUGGUACUUCGUAACGCAAAGAUUGACAUGUUCAAGGGAUCAAUGAGACUGGCUGUAG
RNAcentral lists this unclassified non-coding RNA (218 nucleotides) under Hevea brasiliensis (rubber tree). The record is from RNAcentral. Lineage: Eukaryota; Viridiplantae; Streptophyta; Magnoliopsida; Malpighiales; Euphorbiaceae.